UACGGGAGGCAGCAGUGGGGAAUAUUGCACAAUGGGCGAAAGCCUGAUGCAGCUAUGCCGCGUGUAUGAAGAAGGCCUUAGGGUUGUAAAGUACUUUCAUCGGGGAGGAAAAAACAAAACUAAUAAUUUUAUUUCUUGACGUUACCCGAAAAAGAAGCACCGGCUAACUCCGUGCCAGCAGCCGCGGUAAUACGGAGGGUGCUAGCGUUAAUCAGAAUUACUGGGCGUAAAGAGCACGUAGGUGGUUUUUUAAGUCAGAUGUGAAAUCCCUGGGCUUUAACCUAGGAACUGCAUUUUGAAACUGAAAUACUAGAGUAUCGUAGAGGGAGGUAGAAUUCUAGGUGUAGCGGUGAAAUGCGUAGAUAUCUGGAGGAAUACCUGUGGCGAAAGCGGCCUCCUAAACGAAUACUGACACUGAGGUGCGAAAGCGUGGGGAGCAAACAGGGAUUAGAUACC
RNAcentral lists this ribosomal RNA (456 nucleotides) under uncultured bacterium. Its description in RNAcentral is "bacterial SSU rRNA". It matches the Rfam family "Bacterial small subunit ribosomal RNA", at positions 340 to 786 of the family's 1533-position model. The record is from RNAcentral.